GGGCAUGUAGUGUAGGGGUUAUCGCGCCUCAUUCGCAGGUUUAUACCGUGUUUUGAGGAGGUCCUGAGUUCAAUUCUCAGCUUGUCCA
RNAcentral lists this transfer RNA (88 nucleotides) under Rhizoctonia solani AG-1 IB. It matches the Rfam family "tRNA". Rfam says of the family: Transfer RNA (tRNA) molecules are approximately 80 nucleotides in length. Their secondary structure includes four short double-helical elements and three loops (D, anti-codon, and T loops). The record is from Rfam by way of RNAcentral. Lineage: Eukaryota; Fungi; Basidiomycota; Agaricomycetes; Cantharellales; Ceratobasidiaceae.